GUUUUGAUCAUGGCUCAGGACGAACGCUGGCGGCGUGCUUAACACAUGCAAGUCGAACGAUGAACCACUUCGGUGGGGAUUAGUGGCGAACGGGUGAGUAACACGUGGGCAAUCUGCCCUUCACUCUGGGACAAGCCCUGGAAACGGGGUCUAAUACCGGAUACUGACCCUCGCAGGCAUCUGCGAGGUUCGAAAGCUCCGGCGGUGAAGGAUGAGCCCGCGGCCUAUCAGCUUGUUGGUGAGGUAAUGGCUCACCAAGGCGACGACGGGUAGCCGGCCUGAGAGGGCGACCGGCCACACUGGGACUGAGACACGGCCCAGACUCCUACGGGAGGCAGCAGUGGGGAAUAUUGCACAAUGGGCGAAAGCCUGAUGCAGCGACGCCGCGUGAGGGAUGACGGCCUUCGGGUUGUAAACCUCUUUCAGCAGGGAAGAAGCGA
Molecule: ribosomal RNA, 440 nt
Filed under: Streptomyces cacaoi
Lineage: Bacteria; Bacillati; Actinomycetota; Actinomycetes; Kitasatosporales; Streptomycetaceae
Description: bacterial SSU rRNA
Rfam family: Bacterial small subunit ribosomal RNA
Source: RNAcentral